GGGGAUGUACUGAAUCGACGGGAUGGCUCUUUAAAAACUGCAAGCCGAGAUGAUCGUUUCUCGUAACAACCGGUCAAAAAUAAAUGUCAGCAAUAAGCUUGACGAACUAGAAGCAGAAGUUGCUAAACUCGAGGAAGCUUUGCUUGCUCGAAAGGCGGCAGACGCUUUUGGUGCCCGCGCAUUUGCAUUCGCAACUGCAUAAGGCCAUCUGUAUUGUCUUUUCCUGAUGGGAUAGUACAGGUGUAAAUACAGUCAGGAUGCAUUCUUUAUUUUGACAAGAUAAGGAAUAAAGACUUUGUCUUACUUUUUUUGUUGAUUGUUCGUUGGAAUAUGAAAAAAGGAAAUCUUACAACGGACUAAGCUUGUAGAUGUUUUUCUGGAAAUAUUCCGGACGGGAGUCCAAAACUCCCCAUCUCCACAA
Molecule: transfer-messenger RNA, 421 nt
Filed under: Candidatus Gottesmanbacteria bacterium
Lineage: Bacteria; Candidatus Gottesmaniibacteriota
Rfam family: transfer-messenger RNA
About the family: Bacterial tmRNA, also known as 10Sa RNA or SsrA, is named for its dual tRNA and mRNA-like properties. Its role is to liberate the mRNA from a stalled ribosome.
Source: RNAcentral